This 215-nucleotide ribosomal RNA is filed under the name Campeiostachys nutans. Its description in RNAcentral is "Elymus nutans partial small subunit ribosomal RNA". The stretch from base 34 to 215 matches the Rfam family "Eukaryotic small subunit ribosomal RNA", at positions 682 to 864 of the family's 1831-position model. The record is from RNAcentral. Lineage: Eukaryota; Viridiplantae; Streptophyta; Magnoliopsida; Poales; Poaceae.
GGAUCAAUAUGUUGGUCGUGCCUUGGUACGUACUAAUUUAUUGGUUUCUUCCUUCUGACGAACCUUGAUGUCAUUUAUUUGGUGUGAUGGGAAAUCAGGACUGUUACUUUGAAAAAAUUAGAGUGUUUAAAGCAGGCUAACGUCUGAAUACAUUAGCAUGGAAUAAUGAAAUAGGACGGACUGAUUCUAUUUCGUUGGUUUCUAGGAUCACCGUA